UACGGAGGGGGCUAGCGUUGCUCGGAAUUACUGGGCGUAAAGCGCACGUAGGCGGCUUUGCAAGUUAGAGGUGAAAGCCCGGAGCUUAACUCCGGAAUUGCCUUUAAAACUGCAUCGCUAGAAUUGUGGAGAGGUGAGUGGAAUUCCGAGUGUAGAGGUGAAAUUCGUAGAUAUUCGGAAGAACACCAGUGGCGAAGGCGACUCACUGGACACAUAUUGACGCUGAGGUGCGAAAGCGUGGGGAGCAAACAGG
This 253-nucleotide ribosomal RNA is filed under the name uncultured bacterium. RNAcentral describes it as "partial 16S ribosomal RNA". It matches the Rfam family "Bacterial small subunit ribosomal RNA", at positions 524 to 776 of the family's 1533-position model. The record is from RNAcentral.